AACAAACGCUGGCGGCGUGUCUUAAGCAUGCAAGUUGAGCGGCAAGGAGGAGAGAUCCUCCCUAGAGCGGCGGACUGGUGAGUAACGCGUGGGUAAUCUAUCGUAGGCAUGGGGAUAGUCACUAGAAAUAGUGGGUAAUACCGAAUACGUUCCAUGAGGGGAGUAUUCAUGGAAGAAAGGGUGCUACGGCACUGGCCUUAGGUGAGCUCGCGUCCCAUUAGCUAGUUGGUGAGGUAAAGGCCCACCAAGGCGAUGAUGGGUAGCCGGCCUGAGAGGGUGUACGGCCACACUGGGACUGAGAUACGGCCCAGACUCCUACGGGAGGCAGCAGCUAAGAAUAUUCCGCAAUGGACGAAAGUCUGACGGAGCGACGCCGCGUGGAUGAAGAAGGCCGAAAGGUUGUAAAGUUCUUUUGCUAGGGGAGAAUAAGUGAGGGAGGGAAUGCCUCAGGGUAUGACAAGGACUAGCGAAUAAGCCCCGGCAACUACGUGCCAGC
RNAcentral lists this ribosomal RNA (496 nucleotides) under uncultured bacterium. RNAcentral's name for it is "bacterial SSU rRNA". It matches the Rfam family "Bacterial small subunit ribosomal RNA", at positions 29 to 512 of the family's 1533-position model. The record is from RNAcentral.